ACCACCUUAGUAUAAUGGAGAAUACCCUUGGCUACGAACCAGGAGAUGUGAGUUCGAUUCUUGCAGGUGGUGCCA
Molecule: transfer RNA, 75 nt
Filed under: bacterium
Lineage: Bacteria
Also listed under: 3 other names
Description: tRNA-Arg
Rfam family: tRNA
About the family: Transfer RNA (tRNA) molecules are approximately 80 nucleotides in length. Their secondary structure includes four short double-helical elements and three loops (D, anti-codon, and T loops).
Source: RNAcentral